Molecule: transfer RNA, 67 nt
Filed under: Marmota monax (woodchuck)
Lineage: Eukaryota; Metazoa; Chordata; Mammalia; Rodentia; Sciuridae
Description: tRNA.Undet
Source: RNAcentral
GGUUGUGGCUCAGUGGUAGAGCACUUGCCUAGCAUGAUUAAGGCCCUGGGUUCAAUCCUCAGCACCA